This 421-nucleotide ribosomal RNA is filed under the name uncultured bacterium. RNAcentral describes it as "partial 16S ribosomal RNA". It matches the Rfam family "Bacterial small subunit ribosomal RNA", at positions 361 to 774 of the family's 1533-position model. The record is from RNAcentral.
AUUUUGGACAAUGGGGGAAACCCUGCUCCAGCCAUCCCGCGUGUAUGAUGAAGGCCUUCGGGUUGUAAAGUACUUUUGGCAGAGAAGAAAAGGUAUCUCCUAAUACGAGAUACUGCUGACGGUCUCUGCAGAAUAAGCACCGGCUAACUACGUGCCAGCAUCCGCGGUAAUACGGAGGGUGCAAGCGUUAAUCGGAAUUACUGGGCGUAAAGCGUGUGUAGGCGGGUCGGAGAGGAAGAUGGGAAAUCCCAGGGCUCAACCUUGGGACUGCAUUUUUAACUGCCGAGCUAGAGUAUGUCAGAGGGGGGUAGAAUUCCACGUGUAGCAGUGAAAUGCGUAAAUAUGUGGAGGAAUACCGAUGGCGAAGGCAGCCCCCUGGGAUAAUACUGACGCUCAGACACGAAAGCGUGGGGAGCAAACA